GAUGAACGCUGGCGGCGUGCCUAAUACAUGCAAGUCGAGCGAACAGACGAGGAGCUUGCUCCUCUGACGUUAGCGGCGGACGGGUGAGUAACACGUGGAUAACCUACCUAUAAGACUGGGAUAACUUCGGGAAACCGGAGCUAAUACCGGAUAAUAUAUUGAACCGCAUGGUUCAAUAGUGAAAGACGGUUUUGCUGUCACUUAUAGAUGGCUCCGCGCCGCAUUAGCUAGUUGGUAAGGUAACGGCUUACCAAGGCAACGAUGCGUAGCCGACCUGAGAGGGUGAUCGGCCACACUGGAACUGAGACACGGUCCAGAGGCCUACGGGAGGCAGCAGUAGGGAAUCUUCCGCAAUGGGCGAAAGCUUGACGGAGCAACGCCGCGUGAGUGAUGAAGGUCUUCGGAUCGUAAAACUCUGUUAUUAGGGAAGAACAAAUGUGUAAGUAACUAUGCACGUCUUGACGGUACCUAAUCAGAAAGCCACGGCUAACUACGUG
RNAcentral lists this ribosomal RNA (497 nucleotides) under uncultured bacterium. RNAcentral describes it as "partial 16S ribosomal RNA". It matches the Rfam family "Bacterial small subunit ribosomal RNA", at positions 28 to 507 of the family's 1533-position model. The record is from RNAcentral.